This 332-nucleotide ribosomal RNA is filed under the name uncultured bacterium. RNAcentral's name for it is "bacterial SSU rRNA". It matches the Rfam family "Bacterial small subunit ribosomal RNA", at positions 8 to 334 of the family's 1533-position model. The record is from RNAcentral.
AGAGUUUGAUUAUGGCUCAGGAUGAACGCUAGCUACAGGCUUAACACAUGCAAGUCGAGGGGCAGCAUUUUUAUAGCAAUAUAAAAGAUGGCGACCGGCGCACGGGUGAGUAACACGUAUCCAACCUGCCGAUAACUCAGGGAUAACCCUUCGAAAGAAGGACUAAUACCUGAUAGUACCAUCAGAUGGCAUCUGACGAUGGUUAAAGAAUUUCGGUUAUCGAUGGGGAUGCGUUCCAUUAGCUUGUUGGCGGGGUAACGGCCCACCAAGGCAUCGAUGGAUAGGGGUUCUGAGAGGAAGGUCCCCCACAUUGGAACUGAGACACGGUCCAA